Molecule: small nucleolar RNA, 130 nt
Filed under: Castor canadensis (American beaver)
Lineage: Eukaryota; Metazoa; Chordata; Mammalia; Rodentia; Castoridae
Description: Small nucleolar RNA SNORA51 (ENSCCNG00000009778.1)
Rfam family: Small nucleolar RNA SNORA51
About the family: ACA51 is a member of the H/ACA class of snoRNA that guide the sites of modification of uridines to pseudouridines.
Source: Rfam by way of RNAcentral
GGCCUCCUAGUGCUCACCACAGGACAUAUUCUUACACUAACUGUAUGGAAAGAGGAGGGAAAGUAAUUCACCCAUAUACACCUUAGCCCAAGCCCUAUGCCUGCUUUGUGUUCUGAAUGGGAAGACAUGG